GACGUAGGGGGCCAGCGUUGUUCGGAAUUACUGGGUGUAAAGGGUUCGUAGGCGGUGCGGCAAGUUGGGAGUGAAAUCUCUGGGCUUAACCCAGAGGCUGCUUCCAAAACUGCUGUGCUUGAGUGUGGGAGAGGCGCGUGGAAUUGCAGGUGUAGCGGUGAAAUGCGUAGAUAUCUGCAGGAACACCCGUGGCGAAAGCGGCGCGCUGGACCACUACGGACGCGGAGGAACGAAAGCUAGGGGAGCAAACAGG
This 253-nucleotide ribosomal RNA is filed under the name uncultured bacterium. RNAcentral's name for it is "partial 16S ribosomal RNA". It matches the Rfam family "Bacterial small subunit ribosomal RNA", at positions 524 to 776 of the family's 1533-position model. The record is from RNAcentral.